Molecule: transfer RNA, 68 nt
Filed under: Marmota monax (woodchuck)
Lineage: Eukaryota; Metazoa; Chordata; Mammalia; Rodentia; Sciuridae
Description: tRNA.Ala
Source: RNAcentral
GGUUUGUGGCUCAGUGACAGAGUGCUUGCCUAGCACGUGUGAGGCCCUGGGUUUGAUCCUCAGCACCA